AGGAGAGUUUUAGUAGCUGUAAAUGGGGCUACUGUCUGGCCCUAUUAUCUAGGGUCUCAGCCUCUCAGCUGACUAGCUGCACGCAAAGGCCUGACAAUCCGUAUCUCCCACAGAUGGAAGAUUGCAUGGCAGUCUGUAAGAUCGGAAGUCAAAAGCUGUCUGUGGGAGUAGACAGGCUUGCAAAGUGAAAAGGUACCCCAAAAGGUACAAGGUUGGGUUUCAGCCGAGCCAGUCUGAGCCCCUUUCCCGCGCCCUCUGGUGGGAGGUGUUCGCUUUUCUGCACACCCGUGUGAAGGAUUCACCGGCCCUCCUCGGGUGGCCGUUACUUUACAGGAGCAAAGCAAGGUACGGGACGUUGUUCCCUCUUUUCUGUUUCUUCCUUUUCUUUCUCCUCCGCCCCCUCCCCGCCUCCACAUUCCUCCCUCU
Molecule: long non-coding RNA, 426 nt
Filed under: Rhinopithecus bieti (black snub-nosed monkey)
Lineage: Eukaryota; Metazoa; Chordata; Mammalia; Primates; Cercopithecidae
Description: lncRNA (ENSRBIG00000045349.1)
Source: RNAcentral